This 1252-nucleotide ribosomal RNA is filed under the name Rhizobium leguminosarum. RNAcentral's name for it is "partial 16S-23S ribosomal RNA intergenic spacer". The stretch from base 1121 to 1252 matches the Rfam family "Bacterial large subunit ribosomal RNA", at positions 1 to 131 of the family's 2925-position model. Lineage: Bacteria; Pseudomonadati; Pseudomonadota; Alphaproteobacteria; Hyphomicrobiales; Rhizobiaceae. The record is from RNAcentral.
CGAAUGGGGAAACCCGGAUGCGGCUGGAUCACCUCCUUUCUAAGGAAGCUGUGGAAUUGGUAAGACGACCUUCCGGCAAGUCUUUGACUUGUCUCGAGGUAUGAACCUUCCCGUGCUUUUUAGAACAUAGAUGGCACCAGUCAGGUGACUAUCGAAACGUAAUACGCCGCGAUGACUUCGGUCACGACGGUAUGGCGAGCUGCGCCGUCCACGCUUCUCUUUCUUCAAGAAGACAAAAAACCGCGUCGACCGGUUCCCCGAAUGGGCCCGUAGCUCAGUUGGUUAGAGCACACGCUUGAUAAGCGUGGGGUCGGAAGUUCAAGUCUUCCCGGGCCCACCAUUUGCACCAGCAAAUGAAAUUUGCUGUAGCGAAUGAGGGUUAGGGAUGAUGGAAUGUUGGUGAUGCGGAUUGUUGCCGAACCUGGGCUUGUCCUGGGUGAUCGAGCUGGAGGGGCUGUAGCUCAGCUGGGAGAGCACCUGCUUUGCAAGCAGGGGGUCAGCGGUUCGAUCCCGCUCAGCUCCACCAAUUCGCUUGGUGUCGAGACUGAGAGAUAUCCUUUGAAGAAAUAAAAGUUUUGCACCGGCUUAUGGCUGGUGCGUGUUCUGCAUACAUUGUGAAGAGAAGAUUGAUCUGGAGGCUUCCAGGUGUUGUGGGUUUUGCCCAUGAUGUCCGAGCCCAGUUCCUGUGAAACCAUGGAUGGCCUAGCCGGCCGGAUGUGGUGGAGGGAUUGGAGGUAGGUAGGAAGCUUGUCGCUCUGGAUCGUCAGCGUAAACCGCGUAGCGGUUUAUCGCGUGUUGUUCGUUGCCUUUGGGCAUCGUCUGACGGACGAUCGGAUUACCGUUGCCUGACCGCGCGGUAUCGGAUCCAAUCUCGAGAAGCUGGUCUUAAGACAGGCUGCAAGCGAGCUGCUCGGCGUAGCUCCAAUAAAGCAGACCUGUCGAACACGUUAAUGGCAUUGUUAGAAAGCGUGAUUGUAAAAGGUAAUCACGCAUGUUUGGCCCGACUGCACGGCAAUCGCAAGGUUGUCCGGAUGGUCGGAUUUGGCACCCCGCGAGGCGAAAGCGAAGCGGACAAGGUCUGCCAAAUCAAACAAAGAUGAUGAGCAUUGGCAAUGAGAACGAUUAAGUGUCGUAAGGGCAUUUGGUGGAUGCCUUGGCGUGCACAGGCGAUGAAGGACGUGAUACGCUGCGAAAAGCCGUGGGGAGCUGCGAAUGAGCUUUGAUCCAUGGAUCUCCGAAUGGGGAAACCCGG